Prosopis cineraria is the source of this 104-nucleotide small nuclear RNA. The record is from RefSeq and is a predicted model, not a curated record. NCBI's taxonomy places the organism in Eukaryota, Viridiplantae, Streptophyta, Magnoliopsida, Fabales, Fabaceae.
GUCUCUUUGAGGACAUUCGGUAAAAUUGGAACAAUAGAGAGAAGAUUAUUAUGGUCUCUACACAAAAAUGACAAGCACAAAUUAAAAAAAAAAAUUGAAUUUCU